AGAGUUUGAUCCUGGCUCAGAGCGAACGCUGGCGGCGUGCUUAACACAUGCAAGUCGAGUGCGCGCCUGUAGCAAUACAGGUGGCGCACGGCGCACGGGUGCGUAACACGUGGGUAAUCUGCCCUUCGAAGGGGAAUAACUCGCCGAAAGGCGAGCUAAUUCCGCAUAACAUUCCAAGAGCUUCGGUUUUUGGACUCAAAGGCGUAAGUCGUCGGAGGAGGAGCCCGCGCACGAUUAGCUAGUUGGUAGGGUAACGGCCUACCAAGGCUAUGAUCGUUAGCUGGUCUGAGAGGAUGGCCAGCCACACUGGAACUGAGACACGGUCCAGACUCCUACGGGAGGCAGCAGUGGGGAAUCUUGCACAAUGGGCGAAAGCCUGAUGCAGCGACGCCGCGUGGGGGAUGAAGCUUCUCGGAGUGUAAACCCCUUUCGACCCGGACGAAUGCCCCGCAAGGGGACUGACGGUACGGGUAUAAGAAGCCCCGGCUAACCACGUGCCAGCAGCCGCGGUAAGACGUAGGGGGCCAGCGUUGCUCGGAAUUACUGGGUGUAAAGGGUUCGUAGGCGGUGUGGCAAGUCGGGAGUGAAAUCUCUGGGCUCAACCCAGAGUCUGCUUCCGAAACUGCUGUGCUUGAGUGUGGGAGAGGCGCGUGGAAUUGCAGGUGUAGCGGUGAAAUGCGUAGAUAUCUGCAGGAACACCCGUGGCGAAAGCGGCGCGCUGGACCACUACUGACGCUGAGGAACGAAAGCUAGGGGAGCAAACAGGAUUAGAUACCCUAGUAGUCC
Molecule: ribosomal RNA, 786 nt
Filed under: uncultured bacterium
Lineage: Bacteria
Description: bacterial SSU rRNA
Rfam family: Bacterial small subunit ribosomal RNA
Source: RNAcentral